Long non-coding RNA from Oncorhynchus keta (chum salmon), 702 nucleotides. RefSeq lists it as uncharacterized. The record is from RefSeq and is a predicted model, not a curated record. The transcript is spliced from 3 exons. NCBI's taxonomy places the organism in Eukaryota, Metazoa, Chordata, Actinopteri, Salmoniformes, Salmonidae.
ACUUUCUCUACACUAACAGGGAGUCUCACAAUGCCUCGAAGAACCUGACUAGUAGGUAACAUAGCUCAUAACAUAGUGGUCAGAAUUAUGACCAGCUGGCCUUAUGGUUGUCAGAAAAAUAUGUCAUAUUCCUGUCAGUAAAAAUAAGUUUUUUUAAAAAGUCUUUAGUCAACCAGUUUGUGACUAGAUCCAAAAUUUCCCCCCAAAAAAGUUAUUCCAAGAACCCCAUAGGAGAGGGGGUUAAUCGAGGAACCCCUUUUGUUCCUCGAUGCCCAACAGAAAAAUGUGGAUUUGAAUUUGAGAAGACAGCAGGUGCAGGCACUUAACUGAAAAAUGUAAGGCUCUCCUCAUGUAGAGGACCAAGAGGCCCCUACAUUAUAAACAAGACUUCACCCUCCUUAUACCUCUGAUGACUAUAACACUGCAAAAUCAUUCUGGCUAUGGAUAGCCUACAGAGGACAUCAACAUGCCAGAGGAUAAAUCCAUUGUACUUGGGGCUUUGUUGGGAGUAUUUAGAUUUUUGAAUUCUGCUUUGCCACUAAAAUCAUAAUAAACAUUGAAAACUUAAAGAUUGUGUUAUUGCACCAAAUGGAACCUUUAAACUGCCUGCACUCAAAGCUCAUCUAUACACUGAGUGUACCAAACAUUAGGAACACCUUUCUAAUAUUGAGUUGCAACUCCCAGUUUGCCCUCAGAACAGUC